GUGGGUGUAGCUCAGCUGGUAGAGCGCCAGACUGUGGAUCUGGACGUCGCGGGUUCGAACCCCGUCACCCACCCCA
RNAcentral lists this transfer RNA (76 nucleotides) under Acidobacteriota bacterium. Its description in RNAcentral is "tRNA-His". It matches the Rfam family "tRNA". From Rfam's summary of the family: Transfer RNA (tRNA) molecules are approximately 80 nucleotides in length. Their secondary structure includes four short double-helical elements and three loops (D, anti-codon, and T loops). Further hydrogen bonds mediate the characteristic L-shaped molecular structure. tRNAs have two regions of fundamental functional importance: the anti-codon, which is responsible for specific mRNA codon recognition, and the 3' end, to which the tRNAs corresponding amino acid is attached (by aminoacyl-tRNA synthetases). tRNAs cope with the degeneracy of the genetic code in two manners: having more than one tRNA (with a specific anti-codon) for a particular amino acid; and 'wobble' base-pairing, i.e. permitting non-standard base-pairing at the 3rd anti-codon position. Lineage: Bacteria; Pseudomonadati; Acidobacteriota. RNAcentral also lists the same sequence under 2 other names. The record is from RNAcentral.